CCUACGGGAGGCAGCAGUGAGGAAUAUUGGUCAAUGGACGAGAGUCUGAACCAGCCAAGUAGCGUGCAGGAUGACUGCCCUAUGGGUUGUAAACUUCUUUUAUAAAGGAAUAAAACGAGGCACGUGUGCCUUUUUGCAUGUACUUCAUGAAUAAGGAUCGGCUAACUCCGUGCCAGCAGCCGCGGUAAUACGGAGGAUCCGAGCGUUAUCCGGAUUUAUUGGGUUUAAAGGGAGCGUAGAUGGGUUGUUAAGUCAGUUGUGAAAGUCUGCGGCUCAACCGUAAAAUUGCAAUUGAUACUGGCAGGCUUGAGUACAGUGGAGGUAGGCGGAAUUCGUGGUGUAGCGGUGAAAUGCUUAGAUAUCACGAAGAACCCCGAUUGCGAAGGCAGCUUACUAAAGUGUGACUGACAUUGAUGCUCGAAGGUGUGGGUAUCGAACAGGAUUAGAUACCCGAGUAGUC
Molecule: ribosomal RNA, 460 nt
Filed under: uncultured bacterium
Lineage: Bacteria
Description: partial 16S ribosomal RNA
Rfam family: Bacterial small subunit ribosomal RNA
Source: RNAcentral